Molecule: ribosomal RNA, 253 nt
Filed under: uncultured bacterium
Lineage: Bacteria
Description: partial 16S ribosomal RNA
Rfam family: Bacterial small subunit ribosomal RNA
Source: RNAcentral
UACGUAGGUGGCAAGCGUUGUCCGGAAUUAUUGGGCGUAAAGCGCGCGCAGGCGGCCUUUUAAGUCUGAUGUGAAAGCCCACGGCUCAACCGUGGAGGGUCAUUGGAAACUGGGGGGCUUGAGUGCAGAAGAGGAGAGCGGAAUUCCACGUGUAGCGGUGAAAUGCGUAGAGAUGUGGAGGAACACCAGUGGCGAAGGCGGCUCUCUGGACAGUUCCUGACGCUGAGGCACGAAGGCCAGGGGAGCAAACGGG